RNAcentral lists this ribosomal RNA (402 nucleotides) under uncultured bacterium. Its description in RNAcentral is "bacterial SSU rRNA". It matches the Rfam family "Bacterial small subunit ribosomal RNA", at positions 355 to 758 of the family's 1533-position model. The record is from RNAcentral.
UGGGGAAUAUUGCGCAAUGGACGAAAGUCUGACGCAGCGACGCCGCGUGUGGGAUGACGCCUUUCGGGGUGUAAACCACUGUUGCCCGGGACGAAAUGCCCUUUCGAGGGAAUUGACGGUACCGGGUGAGGAAGCACCGGCUAACUCUGUGCCAGCAGCCGCGGUAAUACAGAGGGUGCGAGCGUUGUCCGGAAUCACUGGGCGUAAAGGGCGCGUAGGUGGCUGGGUAAGCGUGUGGUGAAAGUCCGGGGCUCAACCCCGGAUCUGCCGUGCGAACUGCUUGGCUUGAGCACUGUAGAGGCAGGUGGAAUUUCGGGUGUAGCGGUGGAAUGCGUAGAUAUCCGAAAGAACACCAGUGGCGAAGGCGGCCUGCUGGGCAGUUGCUGACACUGAGGCGCGACA